Molecule: ribosomal RNA, 1796 nt
Organism: Neurospora crassa OR74A
Lineage: Eukaryota; Fungi; Ascomycota; Sordariomycetes; Sordariales; Sordariaceae
Rfam family: Eukaryotic small subunit ribosomal RNA
Source: Rfam
UAUUUAAUUAAUUUUAUUAGUAGUUAUAUAUUUAUUUUAAAGAUUAAGCUAUAUAUAUUUAAAUUUAAGUAAUUAAAUUAUAAAACUACGAAUAAUUUAUUAAAUUAAUUAUAAUUUAUUUAAUAGUACCUUAUUAUAUAAAUAACUAUAGUAAUUCUAGAGCUAAUAUAUAUUAAAAACCCCGAUUUCAGAAGGGGUGUAUUUAUUAAAUUAAAAAUUAAUACCCUUCGGGGCUAAUUGGUAAUUUAUAAUAAUUUUUUAAAUUGUAUAAUUUUGCAUUAGCGAUAGUUUAUUUAAAUUUCUACCCUAUUAAUUUUCAACGGUUGGGUUUUAGCUAAUUAUAGUAAUAAUAGGUAAUAGAGGGUUAGGGCUCGACCCUAGAGAAGGAGUUUGAGAAAUAGUUAUUAUAUUUAAGGAAGGUAGUAAGCGCGUAAAUUACCUAAUUCCGAUACGGGGAGGUAGUAAUAAUAAAUAUUGAUAUAGGGCUCUUUUAGGUUUUAUAAUUGGAAUAAAUAUAAUUUAAAUCCCUUAAUAAGGAAUAAUUGGAAGGUAAGUCUAGUACUAGCAACCGUAGUAAUUUUAAUUCUAAUAGUAUAUAUUAAAAUUAUUGAGGUUAAAAAACUUAUAAUUAAACUUUAAGCUCGGUCUAUCGGUCUACCUUACUACGUAUAUUAAUUAGGUCGGGCCUUUUUUCUUAGAGAACUGUAUACCCUUUAUUAGGUAUAUUAGGGAAUUAGGACUUUUACUAUAAAUAAAUUAGAUUAUUUAAAGAAGGCCUAUAUUCGAAUAUAUUAAUAUAGAAUAAUAGAAUAGGACGUAUAGUUCUAUUUUAUUAGUUUCUAGGACUACUAUAAUAAUUAAUAGGGAUAGUCGGGAGUAUUAGUAUUUAAUUAUUAGAGGUGAAAUUCUUGGAUUUAUUGAAGAUUAAUUAUUGUAAAAGUAUUUACUAAGGAUGUUUUUAUUAAUUAGGAAUGAAAGUUAGGGGAUUGAAGACAAUUAAAUAUUAUUAUAAUUUUAAUUAUAAAUUAUAUUAAUUAAGGAUUGGACGGUAUUAUUUUUUAACCCGUUCGGUACUUUACAAUAAAUUAAAAUAUUUAGGCUCUUAGGGGAGUAUAGUUGUAAGGUUGAAAUUUAAAGAAAUUGACGGAAGGGUACUACUAGGGGUAGAGCUUACGGUUUAAUUUGAUUUAAUAUAAGGAAAUUCACUAGGUUUAAAUAUAAUAAGGAUUAAUAAAUUGAGAAUUCUUUUUUAAUUUCGUAAGUAGUAAUAUAUAGUUAUUCUUAAUUAGUAGAGUAAUUUAUUUAUUUAAUUGCAAUAACGAAUAAAAUUUUAAUUUACUAAAUAAUUUAUAUUAUUUUAGUAGUAUACUAACUUUUUAAAGGGAUUAUCGGUUUAAACUAAUAGAAGUUUAAGGUAAUAAUAAGUUUAUAAUGCCCUUAGAUAUUCUAGGCUGUACGCGUACUAUAUUAAUAUAGUUAGUAAAUACUCCCUUAGCCGGAAAGUCCGGGUAAUUUUAUUAAAUUAUAUUAUAUUAGGGAUAGAGUAUUAUAAUUAUUACUCUUCAAUAAAGAAUCCCUAAUAAGCGUAAGUUAUUAAUUUGCAUUAAUUACAUCCCUACCCUUUAUAUAUACCGCCCAUUACUACUAUUAAUUAAAUAGUUUAGUAAAGCUUCCGGAUUAGCCUAGGGAGGUUAGUAACGACUACUUAAGGCCAGAAAACUAUUUAAAUUUAAUUAUUUAGAGGAAGUAAAAAUUAUAAUAAGGUUUCCGUUAGUAAACUAGCGGAGGGAUUAUUA